UGAUUGACGCCUUAAAUCCAAGGGGUUGCC
RNAcentral lists this non-coding RNA (30 nucleotides) under Mus musculus (house mouse). Lineage: Eukaryota; Metazoa; Chordata; Mammalia; Rodentia; Muridae. The record is from RNAcentral.